Molecule: non-coding RNA, 75 nt
Organism: Haemonchus contortus (barber pole worm)
Lineage: Eukaryota; Metazoa; Nematoda; Chromadorea; Rhabditida; Trichostrongylidae
Source: Rfam
GGCCCAACUCUGGAAUAAAUUAGAUUAGAAGGAUCAGCUGAUACUACUAAUCUAAUUUAUUCCAAAGUUGGGCCC